GCAAACUUGGUCAUUUAGAGGAAGUAAAAGUCGUAACAAGGUUUCCGUAGGUGAACCUGCGGAAGGAUCAUUCACAAUUUACAAGUGCUCCUACGCUCCAACUCUUCUACAGGGAAGGAGACAAGGACACUGUGGACAUUCAAAUCCAUUCCCACCUUGUGUGUAUCGUAAUAAGCAACCCAUUUCACUUAAUAAUAAUUUUAUCCGCAAGACCGUCUGAAUGCAUCUCGUUUUUUUAGAAAAAAAAAAAUGAAAUACAACUUUCAACAACGGAUCUCUUGGCUCUCGCAUCGAUGAAGAACGCAGC
This 307-nucleotide unclassified non-coding RNA is filed under the name uncultured fungus. RNAcentral's name for it is "partial contains small subunit ribosomal RNA, internal transcribed spacer 1, and 5.8S ribosomal RNA". The stretch from base 1 to 73 matches the Rfam family "Eukaryotic small subunit ribosomal RNA", at positions 1759 to 1831 of the family's 1831-position model. Lineage: Eukaryota; Fungi. The record is from RNAcentral.